GGAGUCCUACGGGAGGCAGCAGUAGGGAAUUUUCGUCAAUGGGCGCAAGCCUGAACGAGCAAUGCCGCGUGAACGAGGAAGGUCUUCGGAUCGUAAAGUUCUGUUGAAGGGGAAAAAGAGCGGAGAGAGGAAAUGGUCUCCGAUUGAUAUUACCCUUCGAGGAAGUCACGGCUAACUACGUGCGAGCCGCCGCGGUAAUACGUAGGUGGCGAGCGUUGUCCGGAAUGAUUGGGCGUAAAGGGUGCGUAGGCGGCCUGCUAAGUCUGGAGUGAACGGUCCCGGCUCAACC
This 289-nucleotide ribosomal RNA is filed under the name uncultured bacterium. RNAcentral describes it as "partial 16S ribosomal RNA". It matches the Rfam family "Bacterial small subunit ribosomal RNA", at positions 333 to 614 of the family's 1533-position model. The record is from RNAcentral.